GCUGUAGUCUUGUAGUGCAGUGGUUUGAGCAUUAGACUAUGACUCUAAAGAUCAGGGUUCGAUUCCUAGCUCCAGCA
Non-coding RNA from Phrynosoma platyrhinos (Desert horned lizard), 77 nucleotides. NCBI's taxonomy places the organism in Eukaryota, Metazoa, Chordata, Lepidosauria, Squamata, Phrynosomatidae. The record is from the annotation of a GenBank genome assembly.